This 480-nucleotide ribosomal RNA is filed under the name uncultured bacterium. RNAcentral's name for it is "partial 16S ribosomal RNA". It matches the Rfam family "Bacterial small subunit ribosomal RNA", at positions 29 to 507 of the family's 1533-position model. The record is from RNAcentral.
AUGAACGCUGGCGGCGUGCUUAACACCUGCAAGUCGAACGAAGCACUUUAUUUGAUUUCCUUCGGGACUGAUUAUUUUGUGACUGAGUGGCGGACGGGUGAGUAACGCGUGGGUAACCUGCCUUGUACAGGGGGAUAACAGUUGGAAACGGCUGCUAAUACCGCAUAAGCGCACGGCAUCGCAUGAUGCAGUGUGAAAAACUCCGGUGGUAUAAGAUGGACCCGCGUUGGAUUAGCUAGUUGGUGGGGUAACGGCCCACCAAGGCGACGAUCCAUAGCCGACCUGAGAGGGUGACCGGCCACAUUGGGACUGAGACACGGCCCAAACUCCUACGGGAGGCAGCAGUGGGGAAUAUUGCACAAUGGGCGAAAGCCUGAUGCAGCGACGCCGCGUGAGCGAAGAAGUAUUUCGGUAUGUAAAGCUCUAUCAGCAGGGAAGAUAAUGACGGUACCUGACUAAGAAGCACCGGCUAAAUACGUG